GACGAACGCUGGCGGCGUGCUUAACACAUGCAAGUCGAACGGAAAGGCCCUGCUUUUGUGGGGUGCUCGAGUGGCGAACGGGUGAGUAACACGUGAGUAACCUGCCCUUGACUUUGGGAUAACUUCAGGAAACUGGGGCUAAUACCGGAUAGGAGCUCCUGCUGCAUGGUGGGGGUUGGAAAGUUUCGGCGGUUGGGGAUGGACUCGCGGCUUAUCAGCUUGUUGGUGGGGUAGUGGCUUACCAAGGCUUUGACGGGUAGCCGGCCUGAGAGGGUGACCGGCCACAUUGGGACUGAGAUACGGCCCAGACUCCUACGGGAGGCAGCAGUGGGGAAUAUUGCACAAUGGGCGGAAGCCUGAUGCAGCAACGCCGCGUGCGGGAUGACGGCCUUCGGGUUGUAAACCGCUUUCGCCUGUGACGAAGCGUGAGUGACGGUAAUGGGUAAAGAAGCACCGGCUAACUACGUGCCAGCAGCCGCGGUGAUACGUAGGGUGCGAGCGUUGUCCGGAUUUAUUGGGUGUAAAGGGCUCGUAGGUGUUGAUCGCGUCGGAAGUGUAAUCUUGGGGCUUAACCCUGAGCGUGCUUUCGAUACGGGUUGACUUGAGGAAGGUAGGGGAGAAUGGAAUUCCUGGUGGAGCGGUGGAAUGCGCAGAUAUCAGGAGGAACACCAGUGGCGAAGGCGGUUCUCUGGGCCUUUCCUGACGCUGAGGAGCGAAAGCGUGGGGAGCGAACAGGCUUAGAUACCCUGGUAGUCCACGCUGUAAACGGUGGGUACUAGGUGUGGGGUCCAUUCCACGGGUUCCGUGCCGUAGCUAACGCUUUAAGUACCCCGCCUGGGGAGUACGGCCGCAAGGCUAAAACUCAAAGGAAUUGACGGGGCCCCGCACAAGCGGCGGAGCAUGCGGAUUAAUUCGAUGCAACGCGUAGAACCUUACCUGGGUUUGACAUGGAUCGGGAGUGCUCAGAGAUGGGUGUGCCUCUUUUGGGGUCGGUUCACAGGUGGUGCAUGCCUGUCGUCAGCUCGUGUCGUGAGAUGUUGGGUUAAGUCCCGCAACGAGCGCAACCCUUGUUCACUGUUGCCAGCACGUUAUGGUGGGGACUCAGUGGAGACCGCCGGGGUCAACUCGGAGGAAGGUGGGGAUGACGUCAAGUCCUCAUGCCCCUUAUGUCCAGGGCUUCACGCAUGCUACAAUGGCUGGUACAGAGAGUGGCGAGCCUGUGAGGGUGAGCGAAUCUCGGAAAGCCGGUCUCAGUUCGGAUUGGGGUCUGCAACUCGACCUCAUGAAGUCGGAGUCGCUAGUAAUCGCAGAUCAGCAACGCUGCGGUGAAUACGUUCCCGGG
Molecule: ribosomal RNA, 1342 nt
Filed under: uncultured bacterium
Lineage: Bacteria
Description: 16S ribosomal RNA
Rfam family: Bacterial small subunit ribosomal RNA
Source: RNAcentral